UUUUUUUUUUGGGUAAUCAUUUGUCAAUGGGGUUUGCCCUCAGGAGUCACGUAGGUGUGAAUAGUUGGCUACAUUUUUGUUUGACGUGAUGAUCAACUAAAAACUCGAAUGUUAAGUUCAUGCUAAUAGCACAAUGUUGAAUGAUUAGGGAAAUGAAUGGCUAUGGCGGGUUUUUACAUUAUUCUCUAUUCUAUUAGGGAUUGAAAUGAAAAUUAAAAAGUUAUCCUUUUUGCACUAUUUGCUCUCUUUCUUCUUUUUUCUUUUUGGGUUAUGUUCUUAAAGUUGUAUUUGAUCUGAGCAUUGUUAUAGUCACUUCAUAUCUACUUGGUGAUUGGAAAAGAAAGAUUCUAUAAUUUGGUUAAUGUGGCUGAAUAACAAAGAUAUGGAAAUUAAAUGUGUAAAAGAGCACAUGCAUGGCAUAUUAAUGAAAAAUAAGUUUAGAGACAUCAUAUCUUUUGGCGCUCAUUGAAGAUUUAUACUAUUUCACCUGAUAAGAACUUUUCUGAAUUGAAUUAGUUUGCUUGAGUGAAGAUAUGGAUUGAGUAAAGUAAAGAAAAUUUAGUAAUAUGGAUUUGGACAUGGAUUAUAUUCAGUAAUAUUCAUUCUUAUACUUGGUAGCAAGUCUUAAGAGCUUCAGUUUUAUUACUAAAGGAUACUCAGGUUGUUCUUCAAUUAUCAAGUUAAAAUGUUUAUUGUGCUUUGAAUUUGACUGAUCUGCCAGGUUGAGUUAAUUAGAAAAAUUAUAGAUCCUACUCGACUAUGUGCCCUAUUGUUAAGCAAGAAAAAUGAUCUCUACAUUUGUUGAUACUUGCCUAUUAAUAUAUGUAAGCUUUCGGUUGUGCUUUUCUAGUUUCAAGGUUAUGUCUUGGAUGUAUGGUAAUAGUGUCCAAUGAUGUACAACAAUUCAAGUCAGACUCAUGGCUGAUUAAUGUAAAUCUUCAAUAAAGGGUCAAUUUAAGCAAAAGCCUGGCAAUUAAUUCUUAGUCGUUUAAGUAAAAUUACUUGCUCUCUUCCUCUUCAUAUCAACACAAAUACUUGGUUUAGGAGCUUGAGAUUCACUUUCCAUUUCUGUCAUUGUGUUUGACUGAUUUUCCUUAUUUGUCUUCUAAUUUGGUUAAUGUCUAUCUUGAACAUAUCUUUAACAAAGUGGUUGUAUUCAGGUCAUUGCAUUAGAGCUUUGAUGUCAAUGUUUCUGUAGAUGACAAGUUUCUCUUAUUCAAGUCAUUGCAUUGGAGUUUAGAAAUCAAUGUUUCUGUAGAUGACAAGUUUCUCUAUUCUCUACUUUUCAUUUUUGUUUUAGCUUAAAGUCAGAUAUUGCCUAAAGUUUAUAGCAAAAACAUGUAGUUUGAUGUUUGGAAUCCUGAGGUGAAUCUAUAACUCAAUAGUGAACAAUCCUUUGUGCACAUUUAUGAAUCUGCAAGUCAUUGCUUUAUAUCCAUCCAGAAGACCACAUGUUUUCUCAUUGUUUUGUUGUAAUUGCUCUUUCACUUGUUUUAUAUUUGUAGGAUAUCUAUCCAUGAUAAGAUCAUCUCAAUUAAAGUAAAAUUUGAAAUGCUAAGGAAUUGUAUUCCUAUAUCAGCGUCUUGUUGCAACUCUAUAGUUGAAACCAAAUGGGAUGAAUUGGUCUCCAUAAAAAUAUUAGGAACUAAAUUCAUGUAUUGGAAUUGAAUUGGUUAUCUCAUGAUGAUUGCUUUGCUAUAGAAAAGCCUUCCAUUGUGAAAUCUUCUGAAAAAAGGAAUUUUUAGUAAUGACUUAGAUCGUAGUUUAGUUUCUUUGGCAUGAUUUGGUAUGGUUUUAAAUAGGAAGAAAAUGAUUACUUGUCAUCUCUCUUUAGGUUCUUUGGCAUGGUUUUGUUUUAUCCUUUGAGCUGUUAUGAUUUAUUACAUAUCACAAUAUGCUUGAAUGUUAAAAUUCCAGUGCCAAUGAAUUUUCUCAACUAGGCUGAUGGAAUGGUUUCCCUUGAUGUCUUGAAGAUAACAAGACUAAUAACCACCUUGAAGCAAAAAUGACUUGAGUAUGUUUUGAAGGACCACUUAAAAGAAAUGAUUGUAGCAGAGGAGUUUGGAUAAUUCUGUGAAUAUAUUUUUCUUGUAUUGAUAAACAUAUGUAUGCUAUUUUGCACUUGAAAUGUAAUUCUUAAAUAUUUGUUCUAGAUUAUGUGGUUUUGUGUUAGAUCUUGAUCAUUAGGAAUAAAUAAUUUAUUGAUUGGGCAAGCAUUUAGUCUUUUUUUUUUGUCAUUUUCCUUCAUCUUCUAUUUGAAAUUUAUAAGAAGCAUAUGAAAGUGAUGCUAUAUAGGAAACAUUCUUAUUAGAAUUGUUUGGGAAUGAAUUUCUUUUAAGUUAUGAGCAUAUUAAUUCUUCUUUCUAUAUAUAUAUUAAUUUAUAUUAUUGUGGGUACAUAUUCAAGUAAAAGUUCAAUUUUGUAGAAGAGAAGACACUAUAAUUUAAUUUUGUAUACUCUGGUAGAAAGACUUUCCAUCAUAUAAUUAUUUUGUGCAAAUUUAAUCAAGUUUUAUCUUUCAAGUUUCUUCCAAAAAAUAUAAGUAAUUUUGAAAGGAACCACCAAUUCCAAAUAUAAGUGUUAAAAAAAAUUUGAAUUCCAAAUUUAAACAAUUCUAAUUCCGAACGAGUUCUUGUUUCAUUCAAACAAAAGAUUUGGAAUUCCAAAUGAAUUUCUAUAAUAAUUCUAUACAUUUACCAAACAAAAGAAUUCCAAAAUUUUGGAAUUACUAUUCAUAGAAUUUCAAUUCCAGGGAAUUGUGAUUCCAUUUCAUUUUCAAUUCUAUGGAACCAAACACAGCCUCUAUAAAACCUUGGGGAUGCUUUUGAAAAACCUUAUAAAACCUAAACACACUUCAGUCUCUCCCAAAUAUUGUUGCUAACUUUACAUAUUUUUUAUUUGAGUUUAGUAAAAUAGGACUUAGGCACUUUUGCAUUUUGAAGCUGAUAUUAUUCAAACUUGAAAGACUAAAACUGCAAAUUUCAUAAACCUCCAAACCCUUGUAGAUUGUUACUUCAGUAAAGCCCUAAAUCUUUUUAGAGAGAGUCCUUUAGUUACACCCAUCUCUCUGAAGUUGUUGUACUCAGAAAUGGCUUCCUAUCCUAAUAGUCUUUCCAUCCAUUGAUAGUUGUAUAAAGAAACCUAUAAUAAAACCUAUAUAAAUUAAUAUUUCUUAAAUUAAUAUCCUUUACUAAAUAAUAAUUUUUUGGGUCUCAACUUCGGCUAACAAGCUAAAUUAAUAAUUUCGAUUAAAUAACGAGAUAAUAAUUUUUUUUGAAAACCUUACAUACAUACCAUUCAUAAAUUAAUAAUUCAUUAAAAUUACAUAUAUUAUAUUCAUAUAAUGCUUUAUGCAAUUCAUCAGUUAUUUAUGAAUACCUUAUAAAUGAGAAGCCAUAAUUUAACAAUGAAAUAUGUAAGAAGACUUUGUGUUUAUGUAUUAUAAGAAGACUUCCUUGCCAUAUAUAUAUAUAUAUAUAUAUAUAUAUAGUAUUAUUAAUCUGAUUCAUUUUAUGCAUUUAAUAAAAUAGAAGUGGAAUUAUUUAGUAUUCCUAAAUCCUUUUGACCCCUUAAUAAUAGGAAUAUGAUAUCAAUUACGUACAUUAGUAGGAAUUAAAUUACACUUGCAAAUCAUGUAGAUAUGAAUUGGUUUAUAUUCUAUGGACUUUUAAUCUCCUUUGAUUUAUAGAAUAAUUCAUAUUUUUAUAAAAUAAAAUAAAACUUUAGUUGAUCAAAUGAAAGUUUCUUUGAAUUGUUAAUACGCUUUAUAAAUUAAUAAAUUAUUAUUUUAUCAAUUAAUUAAUAACUCUUCAAAUUAAUAAAAUUUUUAUGGUUCGAAGAUUAUUAAUAUAUAGAGAUUUUCCUGUUUUAUUUAGCUCGAGCAUUAACAAAUGGGUUUACAUAUAUAAUUAAAUUAGAUUCAAACGGUUAACCCAAUUAAACUCAUUAAUUUGGAUCGCUUAUUUUGACCUAAUUAAAUUAAAUGCAGAUUCAAACGCAACCAUUAGUGGGUGAAUCUAAAUUACUACCAAUCUAAUAAUUACAUUCUAAUUUUUGCAGGGACAUAUUUUGCGCUUUUCUUCUUCUUUAAUUUCCAUUCUUUUAUUUUGUUUUAAAAUUUAUCAUACUUCCUCCCUUCCUUUCAUAAAAGUCUACUAAAUUUCUUGAGUGUUAAUUGAUUGUUUGUGUUAAUACCUAAAUUAAUUUUAGAUUCUUGUAGAGUGACAAAAUUUGAAACUUACCAUGAUCACCAAUUUACGUUCCUCUGUGUAAUAUUUUAUCUUUUUUCACUUUAUUUGGGCAAAAUUUACUUAUUAACUUGAUAUGUUGUCAUUUUUUAUUACAAAUUUAGAAUGAUAUAGUGUUUUAUUACUAAACAAAAUGUGGGAAAAAAGUAAAUAAAAUUUAAUAAUGGGCCGUGAAUGAGCAUGAAUAACCCAAACCCAUCUAAAACUAUGUUCAUUUAUGACUCAUCCAUUUUGAAUUAUUAACUAAGUAGUUAUAUCUAGGUUAAUCCAAUUAUAACUUAAGUACUUAUAUAUAGGUUAAUCCAAUUAUAACUUGCUUAAACCCACAUGAAUCAUCUCAAUUUGAUAGCUCUUCCUCAAGUUCUAUCGUCCUCAAUCCUACGAUCUUAUAUUUUCGAUCCCUUUUAUUAUUUAGGAUUCGUUGCCUCAUUUUUCAAAUGUUUUUAUCAAAUAAAAGCUAGAGUGGUUAUCAAGAAAAAGUUUAAAAAUUUGGGUAUAAGUUUGGUGAAAUACUAAAUUUUCAUCGAAAUAUUGCCAAGAUGCCGCCAAAAACAACCAUCUAAUUUUACCUUUAUUGAUUUAGAAUUCAUACAUAAAUUUUCUUUUAUAUGCACUUUUUGAUGUACAUGUGCGAUAUGAAAAAUCAUCUAUAUGCUUGUACAAUAGUAAUAUUAAGUUUAUUCCAAGUGCAAAUAAAAUGUCAUAAUUACUAUUUACAUACUCGUAUUUAAUGUUAAAGUAUAAGUUUCAAUGUUAAAAACUUAAAAAUUUUUUAGAAAACAAACUUACUAAACAAAGUCCACCAUAAAAAAAAAACUAACUAAAGUGCCGUAAACUGACUAAAUACAAAAAAAAAAUGAUAACAAAAUAAGUUUAAAUCCACAAGAAAACUGAUUUAGUUAUUAUGGGGUGAAUCAUUAAAGCACAAGAGUAAUCAAAUAUAUCAUUAUAAGACUAAACAAAUGAUUAUUGCACUCAGAAGGAAAGUGAUGAAGAUAUAAUUGGGUGAAUGACUUAAAAAUUGGACUAAUCACACUAUUCCUGAGAAUUUGACUUGACAAAUAAAAAUUGAAGGAGUAAAAAGGGCUAAAGUGAUAAAAGGAUAAUAGGGUGAAUGAUUUUAAAAUGGAAAUAAUUAAUUAUCCCAUAGUAUUUGGCUUGACAAAUGUAUUUUCUUUAAUUAAGGAGUAAAAAGGGUUUAAAGUCUGAAUAGUAAAAUUUAAAUGAUUUAUGAAACAGUAAAUUAUAAACUAUUUAUGAAACACUCAAUUAAUUUUCCUAACAGGGAGAGCUAAUGGGAAAGUUUUAGAUUUUAAAUUUGAUUGGUGACAAAAUUAGUUAUAACCUCCUAUUGCAAAGUUUUUAAUUGGAUUUUAUAUAUUAACAUAAUUGAAAAAUCUGGAAAAAAAGAAUGAAUUUAUAGUUUGAUCAAGAUCUGGCCCAAUUAAUGGCAUAUUAGGUCUGGCCCAAUUGCUGGCAUAUUAGGCCUGACAUUGGAUCGUUAAUUGGACGUCGUUAUAUAUCGCUAUGUUAAAACCCUAAACGCACUCUCCCAAUUCCCAAACCCCUCAGUUACCCGCACCAGAAAUGGCUUCCGCCGCCGCUCUCCCGGUAGUUACCGUUAUCCCUCUUGAGAAUGAAAUGGAGGCCGACGCCAACUCCCUCCCUCUGCCUGACGUCAUGAAAGCCCCAAUCCGCCCCGACAUCCUCCAAGACGUUCAUCGCGACAUUUCAAAGAACUCCCGCCAACCCUACGCCGUCUCUAGGUCCGCCGGCCACCAGACCUCCGCCGAGUCCUGGGGUACUGGUCGCGCUGUUUCCCGUAUCCCUCGUGUUCCUGGCGGCGGCACUCACCGUGCCGGCCAGGGUGCCUAUGGCAACAUGUGCCGCGGCGGCCGCAUGUUCGCUCCGACUAAGAUCUGGCGUCGUUGGCACCGCAAGGUCCCAGUCAACAAGAAACGGUAUGCCGUGGUUUCUGCCAUCGCUGCCUCUGCUGUGCCUUCCCUUGUCAUGGCCCGCGGUCACCGCAUCGAGUCUGUCCCGCAAAUCCCCUGUGUAAUCUCCGAUUCUGCUGAGGCCGUGGAGAAAACCUCCAAUGCUAUCAGUCUUCUCAAGAAAAUUGGGGCUUACCCUGAUGCUGAGAAGGCUAAGGACAGCCAGGGCAUCCGCCCAGGAAAGGGCAAGAUGCGUAACCGCCGCUACAUCUCCAGGAAAGGUCCUCUGGUUGUGUACGGUACUGAGGGGGCGAAGCUUGUGAAGGCCUUCCGCAACAUUCCUGGAAUCGAGGUGGCCCACGUGGACCGUUUGAAUUUGUUGAAACUUGCUCCGGGAGGUCACGUUGGGAGGUUUAUUGUUUGGACGAAAUCAGCAUUUGAGAAAUUGGAUGGGAUUUACGGGUCAUUUGAUAAGCCUUCCUUGAAGAAGAAGGGGUAUGUUUUGCCCAGGGCCAAGAUGGUGAAUGGUGAUUUGGCCAGAAUUAUCAACUCUGACGAGGUGCAAUCUGUGGUGAGGCCAAUCAAGAAGGUGGUGAAGAGGGCACCAAUGAAGAAGAACCCUCUUAAGAAUUUGAAUUGUUUGCUCAAGCUCAAUCCUUAUGCCAAGACUGCUAGGAGGAUGGCUCUCUUGGCUGAGAAACAGCGUGUUGAGGCUAAGAGGGAGAAGCUGGCCAAGAAGAGGAGUCCAAUGACGAAGGUAUAUGGUUUAUAUUAUUAUUUUUCCCUCUCCUUUCUAUGCUUGAUUCUGUUGGAAUAUUGAUGCAACUGUAGAUGAUGUAUCUAUCUGCCCGUGUUGGUAUGCUUUAGGCUACAGAACGCGUGUUCCAUUUUCUACUGAAAACCUUGAUGUCUAUAUGAUUCAGAUUGAGUCUUUAAUAAACAAGCUCAACCCUUUUGGUAAAUAAAAAAUUCAGAUUUUCUUGCAUCAAGCAUUAGUGGCUUUAUAAACUGUUGUGUUCUCUAAUAAUAUACAAGAAUUGAGGAAUUUAGAUGACUUCCUGCCAUGCAACUGAUGUUAAUUUAGAUAAUUGAUAAUAGCUUUGAAUAUGGACUAGUUGUGAUGGAAGGAAUACAGCUAAUAAUUAUCGGAACCCACUGUGAUUUAGUUUGAUGAUUUAAAAUGUUAGCAUGAUGCAAAGUUAACUUAAUUAACAUCACAACUUGUGCUUCUGUUUGUUUCUAUUGGUUGUCUGGUUCAUCCUUUUAGCUGGCUUUCAAGUCCUUUUUUUUCAAUGUAGUGGUGCGUUGGAUGUUUUUCUUUCUUUGUUGUAGUUUUGGUUAUUGCUACUGACUUUUGUUUUUAUACAUAUGAACUCGGGCGCAGAGUUGUGUAUUACAUGAUAUGGUGUGUGUGCUGAUAUUUUCUUAUCUUGUCCUGGAUGUUCUUAAUAGAUGCUUGUCCUAAAUUAGCAUGCUUGGUUACAUUUUAAACGAUAAUCUUAAGGUUGCAUUACAUGUCUGGCACUGUAGCUUUGUUUGACUGGCUUUUUCUAGAUGUCUUAACUGGCUUUAUGGGUUCUGAGUAAUGAUUGAUCAUUUCUAACAACUUUACAGGUUCUAGGAUUUGUGUUUUUUUAAUUGAUGAUGAAAUACCUGAUCUAAUAGAGUUUUGGAUUCAUCUGACUGGUUUGCAGUAACCGAUGGGUAUUACUUUUUUGUUUUAGUGUCAUCAUUGGUUGAUAGUUUCUUGCUAUCCUGUUCUCUUUGCUUUUGCUUGAUAAUAGUUGAAGGGGCCUAAGACUUGUUUUGGGCAUGAGUGGCCCCAACUUUCUUGACUUGGUCAAUUUGGUAUUAUUUAGUUCUAAUGUUGCCUCAAUGAGCCCUCGAUCAUUAUACUAUUUUUUUGCUUCUGACAGGAGGAGACGUCUGCUGUAAAAGCUGCUGGAAAGUCAUGGUACAAAACAAUGAUCUCAGAUAGUGAUUACACCGAGUUUGAGAACUUCUCAAAGUGGUUGGGCGUUUCACAGUAAUUGGUUUCACUUUGAAGUUUAGUAAAUCUCGUGUGUUUAUUCAGUUUUGUUUUAUUUCAAGUAGGCUAUUUGGUAAUUUAAGACGUGCAAGAGCUUAGACUGCAGUGACUUAAUUCCUCAGUGUACUAAGAAAUAUUUUUGCCUAAAGGUGAUCAUCUUGACUAGGAGUCAAUAGCUUCUUGUUCUGGAAUACUCAGCCAUCAACUCUGUUUUCUGGUCCUUGAUUAUGAAUGUUACAUUGGUUUUAAACAUUCAGAGCAGGUGCAGCUUGCAUUGGAAUUUGUUGUACUCGUCUUUUUGUCCUGCCUGUCACUGUUUGUUAGAUGCCAGCCUUACUUCCAUAAUUCUGCUUCUGAUUGUAUACCAUUGUACUACUUUUUUGUGCUAUAAUUUGAUAACCAGGCCUCUGAUUUGUCUAAACUGAUUUUUGGGUUUCGAUGAGUUCUGAAAUCCUUUUGGUCUGUUUUUCCCCUCUGAAUUGCAUGUUUCCUUUACCGCAUGACCUGUUUGUAUUGGUAAAGUGAAACCAAAGUAUGUCGAAAGUCUUCGAACGUUUGGUGAAAUAUAUAAAUAUGGAAUUGUAGUCUCAGUGAUUGUUUUGGUUUGACAUUCUGUUUGUAUGUGGAAAAUACCAAAUACAUAUUCUAUCCCAUCCAUGGUUGAAUGGUGACCUAGAUGGGGCUUGUAGUUCCUGGACUUAUUCGUUGACGAGCUGCUACUGAGUUCAACUUGUUUUGAGUUGAGUUGGUUCGCUUGUCUUUCCUCCUAAAUGUUCUUUGUAUCUGCUUUUACAAGAAACAAAUUUGCAAAAUGAAUUGUCAGUGAAGUUAACCUGGCUUUUCAUGAUGGUAAAAAAAAUCAAUUAGGCUACUUGUUAUGACGGAUUCUUUGAAGAUGAAUACCUUGUUAAUUCACGCUUUUAUAGUACCCGAAGCUCAGUGUCAUAUUUCUGCAACUUCCAGAAAGUUUCAAAUACUUAGAAUCUUAAUAAUGCAUCGGGGAUGGAUAUAAGAAUCGACAAACUUUAUAUAGCUGCAACUUCCAGAAAGUUUCAAAUACUUGAAUCCUGAUAAUAAUCAGGGUAGGGAAUAAAGACUAUAAAGAAGAAUCGACAUAAAAGCAGGACAAACUAAGAAUUCAAAAAUGUGUCCGUUUAAGAUUUGUCUAUUUAAGAUUGGUCAUUAACUAUGCUUAGCUACAAUAACAAAUUGUACUUUUUGAACUUGCAAUAACGAAAUGGGAUGAUAUCAGAAAUCUCCCUUGAGGUUUAUCCUAAUAUCACUUGGCACCUCACAGGUUUUGAAAAUGUCACUUUCCUCCUCUAGUAAUUGUAAAAAAAUUAUAUUAACCUUCACUUAAUACGUAAUUUACCAAUCAAAUAAAUAGAGCUCAAAAAAUUCCAAAAAAAAAAGAAACCAAAGUCACUUUCUUCUAAUUCAUCUUUUUCCAACAUUUUCUCUUAUUUAUUUUUUUGGAUGAUUAUAUGAUUUUUUAUUUAUAAUUUAUAGUAAAUUGAAUUUUAUUUAUUUUUUACUUUUUGUGAUUGUGAUAGAAUGAGAUAUGAUUUCUUUGUUUAUUUUGAGUUGAUUUUUUUAAUGAUCAGUACAAUUUAAAGGCUUGGGGAUCGAUUGAGAAGAAGUUAGAAAAAAAAAUAUAAGGUUCAUAAGAAAUUAGUUUUGAGCACAGAGUUAAAUUUUGCUAAUGUAUUUCUUUACAAAUAUCUUUUUUGUUUUUCAUAAUUAUAUUUUUGUGGACUAUAGCAUUGUGAUGCGGUAGUACUACUAGAUAUUAUAUUUUAGGUAAUGGUUUUCUUGAAAUAAGCAAAGUGGCUUAAGAGUAUUUUUAUUAAGCAAGCAAAGUGUAGUUUAGUGUUUUCAAAAACUUUUUAACAUAAAUAACAAAAGUAAGAGAGGUAAGUGAUAUUUUUAAAACCUUAGAAAUGCUAGAUGAUAUUGAGAGAAACCUCAGGAGAGGUUUCUGAUGUUAUCCCUAACGAAAUAAGUGCAACUAGUUACUUAUUCUAAUUAUAUGAGGUUUUAAUAAUAUUUUUCUUCCAUAAAUAUCUCUAAAUCAACAUUUACAACCUAUACAAAGAUUCAAAAUAUCACGAUUGGAGUCCAAACGUUUGAUCUUCUUUUAUAGAGUGCAAACAUUUAUGUGGGGAAAACGUUACUAAAGUCUGAAAUUACUAUAAACAAAUGAUUAGUUGCGUUUUCGGAUAGUAUAUGGUUAAAUUUUCACUAGUAGUGUCCAUUUUAUCUUAUUUUUCACUAAAGUAUAAGGGGUGGAAGUGGAUACUUUUAAAUUAUAAGGGGUGCAUUUUUUAAACUGCUUAAUCAUAGGGGGUGUAUGUGCCCAUUAUAAUAUUGACUUUGAAAUUCGUGUAUCUUAAGAAGUGCCAGACUACAAAGGUUUAAAUUUAUGAGUUUGAACUUUGAACCAAUCUAAGCGCCAUUUUUUCUUAUUUCGUAUUUUUCUUAUUCUAUAUUUCUUAAUAAUAUUUCACCGUUGAGAAAAUUGAUAUGAAUAUAUUUCAUAUUUAAGUGACUAUUUACUUCAUUCUGUGUUUCUUUGGUUACAAGAAUAUAGAUUCAAGAAAAAAUUCAUUUUCCUUAAUCAGUUCACCAAUUUCAUUCUUUCCUUGACAUAUAAAAGCGCAUGUUUUUUAAUUUAAAGUCUAGACUCAAAACCUUUUUUCUCUCCCGACCCGUUAAAUCAUAGGAAUAAUAUCAGAAACCUCCUCUAAGGUUUUUCUUAACAUCACCUAGCACUCCUAAGGUUUUAAAAAAUUACUUACCUCCCUUAGUAAUUACAAAAAGACUAUCCAUUUGGAUUAGCUGUUUUUGGGGUAUUUUUGAAAAAUUUUAUUGUAGUAGUGUAUAUGAAAAACUUUUACUAUAAAUAUUUUUUGAAAUAUUUGAUAUAUUGUAUGGAUGAAAUAUUUUUUGAGUUAUUUUGAUUUGUGUAUUACUGUAGUAUUACAUUUGAAAAACUUGUUUUUGAAAAAAUUUACCUCACUUGAUACAUAAUUCACAUAUCAAAUACAUGGAAGUCAAAAAAAUUAUAAAAAUAAAAAGAAACAAAAGUCAAUUUCUUUUCUUUCCCCCAUUCCCAACAUUCUCUCUUACUCUUUUCUUGGACGACUAUGCAAUUUUUUAUUUUUAAAUUAUAGAUAAUUGAAUUUUAUUUAUCUUUUACUUUAUGAGAUUGUAAUAGAGUGGGAUGUGAUUACUUUGUUUAUUUUGAGUUGAUUUUAUAAUGAUUGGUGCAACUUAAAAACUUGGGCUAGGGUUUGAGAAGAAAUUGGGAAAAAAUAUAAGGUUCAUAAGAAGUCAUUUUAAGUAUAUAGAGUUAAAUGAGUCCCAGUAUAUUUCUUUACAAAUAUCUUUUUUGUUUUCCAAAUUUAUAUUUUUAUGAACUAUAGUUUUUUGACCUGGUGAUACUACUAGAGAUUGGCUUUUAGAUGGUGAUUUUUUUUUGAGUGAAUAAAGUGUCUUAGAAGUAUUUUAUUUAGCAAAAUGAACAAAAGGGUAGUUUAGAAAUUUUUAAAAUUUUGUUACACAAAUAACAAAAGUAAGGGAGGUAAGUGAUAUUUUGAAAACCUUAAGAGUGUUAGGUGAUAUUAAGAGAAAUCUCAGGGGAGGUUUUUGAUAUUAUCCCUAAAUCAUACCCUUCCCUUGUUAAAAACUUUUCCUUAAAACAAAGGUGCAUGUUUUGUCUCUUUUCAUUUCUUCAUAAAACCACAUGUAAUGUUAAAUUUUCCGCUUUGAAGCUUUUGUAACUUUGUGAAUAUUCUGAUUCUUGCAUAUAGUUUUAUUGAGAUGUGAACUUUAUCUCAUCUAACUAUAACAUGUCAUCCAAUAUGUUGCAUCCAAAAUAUUUUCGGAACUUCUAACUUUUACCUUUCUUGUUUCUUUAGGUGCUAACCUACUCUUUGUUUUCGCUAUAAAACAAAAAAAAAAGGUGCAACUUUUUGAUAAUAUCUUUAACAUGGUUAAUCAUGCUUACCUAGUCUAAAAUUUGUGACAAUUCAUUACCAAUUUCAAGUGAGUUUUUGAUAGACAAAAAAGAAUUCUCUCAGAUAAGCAUAUAUUUCUGAAACCUGAUAAAUUUUGCAAGUUCUUGUCGAGCAAGUUUCUAGCGAAUGAUUUAUGUAAGAACAUCAAUAACUUUUGCUUUUAGUUUUCCCCAAAAAAAGAAGAUAUUUUCUCAUGCUUAAAUCAUAAAACAUAAGAAUUUAUAAGAUGCAAGUACAACAAAUUGUGUAAAUUUGGCCCUAGACAUAGAAUCAAGUGUGGCAAUCAUAUCAAGUUCAUAGAUGUACGUUACAUGAUGUUAAGUUCGUGGAGUGUAUGUUCAUAGAAUGUAUUUAUGUAUGCAAAUAUGGCCCUAAACACGAUACAUGUUACAUAUUUUGUCAUCACCACAAAUUAUAGCUUUAGCCUUCGUUGCAAUAAUAUCUGUGUGCAAUAUACUCUAAGAGUAGUUGUUGAUAGGAGUUAAAAAAAAUACAUUCCAUAACAAAGACAAGAUGCUUUAGAGUUGUGUGUUUCUCGAAGCUCCAUUGCAGCCUCCCGGUAAAUUUAUAACUAUUGAAAACUCCUUUUCCUGUAAAUUAAACUAAAAGAAAAUUAGUAAUAAAAUGAAGACAAGUAAUGUACUUAAGACUCUUCCUUAAAGUACGAUAUAUGUUAGCAUAGCGGGCUUUUAACAAAAGAAUCUGGUAAUAUUACACACGUUGUGAUUUUAAGAGUUGUAAAUCUACAAAAAUUACAAUAUUAUUUUUAAACACGUAAAAUUCUAGAUUUCUAUCCGGACUCUAGAAAUUGGGUGUGAAAGUAAUGCCUUAAUUAUAAGACAAGGGAAGAAAACAAUUUUAAGUUUGAGAGAAUUAGAUAGCAUAUUUUUACAAUCUAAAAUUUAAAUGAAAAAUAUGUAACCUUUUUUUAAAAAAAAUUUUUUUGACAAGAAUGUCUCAGUCAUAUUACUCCUUAUAUACUGGAAUAUUUGGAAUACAAAUCUACAACCUGAUGUUUAAGGAAACAACUGCAGAAAUGUGUUUUUGAAGAAUAUAAAAUCCACUUCUAGAUUGAAGGUUCUUUGAAUUUUUCCCUCUUAUAUUAUUUACUGUAACACGUUGAAUUGGACACUUUUCCCAACUUUCAAGUCAUUACUUAAAAAAAUGGAUAUUGUGUAUAUAAAAUAAAAGGUUUAAACACUGAACCAUGAACAAACAGUAUUUGAAUGCCUUAUUCAAAAACUCAUUUCAGCUCAACUAUAUAAGCCGUAAUAUGACACAUUAAAGUCAAUUCAAAUCCAACUCAAUCCCAAAUAUUCAUAUAGUUGCACAAAUGUUGACCAUAUCAUACACUAUGUUGUAAUUAAGAUCACAUGUUAGUUUUUCCCACAAUCAUAAAGUGCUUUCCUGUCCAAUUAGUCGAAAUCACAUGUAACUUCACUAUUGCACAGGAAUCAAUUUCCACAAAAAUUGUACACAUUAUUGUACAAAUCAUGUCCUAAACAUGAGACAUAAAAGUCCUCUAUAUAUCUUACUAUAAGAUAAGUAAAGGCCCAAAUUUACGGUAACAACUUUCCUUAAUGACACGUGGCACUAUAGGUAAAUUUUGAGCUUUUAUUUUUUUUCUUUCUCUUUGGAUUUGCUGAAUGUCUAAAGUUACUGUAGCAACUUUCAUUGCUCAAUGACCUAAAUUGGACUGGAUUUCGCAUUCCUUUAUAAGGUUGAAUUAUUUCAAUCUUUACACUUUGGACAGAUAUAAUUCAAUUAGAAUUUACAUUUAUUACUAUUUACAUUAUCAUUUGAAAUUAUAUUUGACAAAUUAACUUAUGUCUUGGUCAAAUGUAAUCGAACUACAAUAUUAUUAUAAUUAUCAUUAUUAUUUGAAUUUAUAUUUAUUUCAAUGUGAAUUGUCAUUUAAAAUUAUAUUUGACAAAAUAAGUUUCACUUGUUAAAAAUUAUAUAAUUACAUUGAUCUUUUCAAAAUGUUAUAUUUUUUUUAUUUUUUGCUAUUUUGUUAAUGUAAUGCAAAAGAUUAUUUAAAACUGAUUCCACCUUAUUAUAAAGAAAAAGAUUAUUAUCGCUACUUAAUGCAACGUGCAUUUUCUAUUUCAAUUUUAUUUUAAUUUGUUCAUAUUGAAAUAUUUAGUAACUUUUGACUUAUGUUUAUUCAUAUUUCUAUUUCUAUUAGCAUUUAAGGUUAUACAAAUGAACUGACAUUGCCACUUAAGAUAUUAUAUAUUUUUGUUAUCAAUUUUAUUUUAAUUCAUUUAUAUGUUAAUAUUUGCUUUUUGUUACUAUAAAUUUUUUCCUUUAUCAAUCAAAGGAAUGCAUUAACGUCUAAAUGACAAAUAUAUAUAUAUUUAUUAUAUUUCAUUAAAAUGCUCUUCUAUUUUUUUUGUUUUAAUGGUAGCCGUUAGAUUUGCAUUUAUUUUUGUCAUUAUUUUUUUGCCAUCAGAUUAUUAGAUUAUUCAAUAAACCUAUUUAUUAUAAGUUCUAUCUAAUUUGGAGAGAAAAAAGUUUUUCUUAGCCAUUGUAUUAUUAGAUUAUUCAACAAGGAAGCUUACAGAUUGUUUGGUUCUCCUAUUUUUCCUCUCCUUUGCUUGUAAUAAGUCAAAUAAUGCAAGCAUUCUUCACUUACUCCACUUUUUGACAAUUAUCUAAUCAGAUUAGACAAUUACUUUUUUCCUUAGAGUUAGGUUGUCCUUCACAAGCAUGUCAACCUUUUAUGAAUUGUCAGUUGUACUUCAUCUUUUCAUAACCAUUAGAUUGAAAUACAAAGUACUUAAUUAGUUUAGCUUUCAUAGACUACUUUUUUAGAUGAAAUUAUUAUCAACAAACAAACCUUGAAUAGUAUAGUACACACUGCUACAUACACUACCAAUUGUUAUUCUGUUUUCUUUGCUUCUCGUUCCCACAUAGUAGAAAGAAAGCUUCCUUCACUUUCUUGCUUUCUCAUCAUUUGGUAAUACAAUUUUUCUAAGCUUUUUCUUCACCAUCUCUAUGCAUUUACAUCUUAUUGUAGUAAGAUAUGGAUGCUUUUACAUGUUUUGUGUUUUGAUUUUGCAGCAUUGCCUUCAGCAUUCAAGAUUUUACUUUGUCAAGCACUUUACUUUAGGUUAGUCACAUUACUCAUACCUAGCCUACAUAAUGUUUGAUAAAAUGCUAGUUAAGUUUACUUGAUAUUUACAAGUUUCGUAAGUAAACUACUGGUAGCUACUUGCUAUUGAAUCGUAUAUACUGUGUGACUUAUCAUUGUAAACUCUGGCAAUGAACUUUGAAAUUAUUUAGAUUUGUUUUUCUAUUUUUGUGAUCAUUUUUAAAUUGUUCAUGUUGAAGAUGCUUGCUAAUUUCUUUUAUGGAUAGCUAAGCGAAUUGAAUGUCUGUUUCAUUAUCAGCUAAAUUUUGAUAGUCAAAACAAAGAAAAAAAUCAAUUAGACAAGUUAAUAAAAUUCUUCACUCAGCUGAUAAAGGAUGGAAUAACAGAUUUUUAUGUCAAUCAAUACCAGCAAAAUUUCAAAAGUUCAGUGUAUAGAUCAUGCACUGUUGUUCUUGUUUCAUUGCCUUCAUAGAUGAAUUAAAAUAAAAUUGAUAGGAAAAGUUUAUAUUAUAUUUGGUGGUAAUUUCAGUUGGUUUAUACAAGUUUAAAUGACACUAAAUAUUUUAAAAUAUUUUAAAAUGCCGCUAAAUAUUAAUUUAUUAAUGAAUUAAAAUAAAAUUCACAAGAAAAUCAUAUAAUAUAUUAAGUGGUAAAGUAAGUUCAUUUUAAAUGCUAAUAAUCCAAUUUCUCUCCAUUUUAGUAAUAUACAUACUUCACGUAUACAUUUACACAUGACACUCAAUUCAGAAACAUUCCUUCAAAUUUUGCUACCCUUAAACACUUCAAGGUGGGACUUGGUUGUGCGUAGCAUAGCUAAGCCUUACUAGUCUACCUUGUAUCCUUGUAUAUAAGAAGAAAGCCAAAUUACUAUAGUAGCCUAUCUUUUUGAUAUAUGUAUUGCCUAUAUUUUUGACAAGUGAAAUCUUGCUCAUUUUAGCUAAUUUUUCCUUCCCUUUUUUGAUUCAAUUUGGCCAAAAGGAUUAAAAUAUUUUUUCUCCUUCAGAAAGUCAACUCCAUCUCUUUUUCUUCUUCUUCUUGCGGCAACUGCUGUCAUCCCUCGCCUUUUAAAAAAAAAAAACUAAUUUAACUAAGAUUGUUGCCAUGUUCAUUUUCUUUGGGAUAAUUUUAGAAACCUCCCUUGAGAUUUCUGAAAAUUUCACUCAGCUCCCCCCAAAUUUUGAAAAUUACACUGACCUCCCUUAGUUCAAUAAAAUGACUACAAUACUCUCUACUUAAUGUAUAAUUUACCACAUAUGUGGGACACACAAACCAAACCAAAAGUAAAAGAAAAAAUAAAAACCUGCAACAACUCAUCAUCAUCCCAACCCUACUUUAAUUAAUAGUCGCUUCUUUUCUCUUUACCUCUUCCGAUUCUCUCCUUCCUGCCUAUAACCCCAUAGUCUCUUCCACCCAUCAACUACACCAUCAUGCUAACCUACCCGAAGUGUUUAUUUCUUGUCUAUUUCUCUCUUUCCGUGGUACUUAACUAUGAGCCACUCUUUUUUAUUUUUUCUUAUAUUAUAAUUUGUAUACAUUGAAGAAUCAAAACUUCCAAAUUUACAAAUCGAGAGAGCAAAGGAAAAUUUCAUGGUCAAAUUAGAUGGAGAUGAUGAAGAUGGUUGUGAUAGAGGGGAAAAAAAUGAAAUUAAUGCGCUAUGGUUGGAAGAGAAAAAGGAACGAAUCUGAGUUAUGCUAUUAUGUCUAUUAUACACUAGAAUCUAAUAUCUUCAUUUGGUUUCGUUUUUGUUUGAUUUACAACUAUUGGGAGUGGUUUGUCACAAAAAUUAGUUUCUCUGUUCCUAAUGCCAUUAGAGUAUGGGGUUGCUCUUGGCAUAGGUAUCAAUAAUGGUUGGUUAGGUAUUUUUCUGUUCAAGGAAGGUGACAGGCGAUAGGUUUUGGGUUCAUAAUUUGAGAUGUGAAAUUAGUCAAUAGACAAAUAAAGUGUUAAUUUAGGGUGUGAAGCUUUUGAGGGUAUUGUAGUUGGUGGUGGUGAUUAUGGUCAAUUUGUAGAGGAAGUGAUUUGGGUAGGUUUGGAAUUUUGAUGAUGUCGAAAUUGAUAGAAUUUUGGGAUUAAGUUGGAGUGCGAUUUUGGUAAAAUUUGGGAUUGUAGUGAUGCCAAAAUUGAUAGAAUUUGGGGAUUAAGUUAGAGUUUGCUUGAACAGGUUGAUGAGCUUUUGGGUUUACAAUUAUCGUGGACGUAUAGUAAGUUUGGAUGAAAGUGUUUGUUACUUUUUUUUUUUGGUUAAAUUGAUCACUAAACCUUUUUUUCAUUUUCAUUUGAUGUAUGAUAUUGCAUAAGGGUAUUUUAGGAUACUUAAGUAUAAUUCUAGCCUAAUGGGUCUAUAUACUAUUACUUAAACAGUAAAAGCAAGGGAGGUUAGUGUAAUUUUCUAAAAUUGGGAGGAGCUGAGUGAAAUUAUCAGAAGCCUCAAAGGAGGUUUCUGAAAUUAUCCAUUUUUCUUUUUCACUGAGAGGAUUAGCUACUUAGUAAAGAGAAGUCUUUAUUAUUUUUUUGAUCCCGUUUUACAUUUUCUUUUCUUCCUUUUUUUCAUCUCUAAUCUCUCAUGUUUGCUCUAAUAUUCUUUGAUCAUAAUGGUAUAGUCAACUGGCAUUUUUUUUGUUAAAUUUAUAGGAUGACAUUGUUAUUUGGUAUUUUUUCAUGGAUAAAAGGUGAAAUAUUAAAAUAUGUAAAAAAAAGUAUUAGAAUUCAUUUUAUACCGGUGAUCAUCUUCUAUGAAGAAUAAAACAAAAAUUCAUUCUUUUCUUUUCUCCUCCUAGGAUUAGAUUUCUUACUUCACAUUCUUUUUCCUUUUCUUUGUUUUUUGGUUCCAUUUUGUAAUUAUCUACAAUUUUUAUGUAUUUUUUUUAGGAGAAAAGAUAUAUCAUGUGAUGUUUCCACCAAGAUAAUUCUAACUAGACAUUUUUCUACCUUUGUUUUUCUCUGUUUCUUUCUUUUUUCCCCUUUUUGGAAUUACUUUAAAGUAAAUUUUAUAUACACUAUCACGAUUGAAUAGAUGAUACAUGAGUAAAUUUUGAAUUUCAAAUUCAAAUUUUGCACAUAUGUCAUAUAUCUAAUGGUGAUAGUAUAUUCACUGACAGUGUAUAUAAGAUUAAUCCAUUACUUUAUGAUUUAUUCAAUUCAAUUGAAGGAUCCAAUAAGAUUUUGUAAUCUUUAAACUCAUGUUAAUUUCUGUUUGUUUUUUAAUUACUCAAGUGCUGUAGUAUCAAUUGGGUUGGCAUACAACAAUUGCAGUUGGUGGUAGAAGUCAGAAUUGAGGCUUUCAACCUGGACCGUGACUUGACAAAAAAUUGUUAGAAAAUUCAAUUUUGAUUAGGAAGAUAUUUUUGCAAUAGUUCGGUUCUAAUUUGUAUAUGUAGUUCUGAAAAUAUAGCAAUUCAUAUGUUUAUCUAAUCUUGCUAUUUAGAUUCUAGAGUUGCGGGAUAAUGCUGUCAUCUUUAGGCUGGAUUUAAAUAGAUGAAGUACCUCUAGUAUAGCUACUAUACACGAAAAUGUCAUCUAUUUGCGGCUCCUAUCCAUUUCCUCUUUCACAUGCUAAUGGUGGAUAGGAUCUUUUACAAGAGGCUGGUGAUAUUACUAGAGCUCUAGUUUCCUACGAGAGCAACUUUUUUUCAAAUUUCAAUUUUAUCAUUGUGAAAGUACUAAAACUUUUCACUAUAUAUCGUGGAACUUUGUUUGUGGACCCACAAAUAAAACGUUAUCAACCACCAAAAGGGCUCUAACUAAUUUGGUGAUGGGUUCAAAAAUUUAUGCCCUUUAACCUAAUCUAUAAUCAACAAUUUCUAGGCUGAAAUAAAAUUUCCAUGGCAAUAUUCCAACUAUAACCGACUCCAGUUCAACAAGUCAUUUCUGCCGUAAUGAUCUAUUCAAUUUAGUAUAUAUGGUCCAAAUCAAAGGGAAAAAAAAUUUCUGAUCAACCAUACAAUUUCACAAAACAAAAGCCACCAUUGUAGCAGGGACUUGAACCAAUAUGGCGUUACAGAUGAGAGAUACUUGUGAGAUUUGCUGAGCAGAGGAGGACAGAAAAAAAAAUUAUUGUAGUAACGAACUGGGAUUAGGAUGAAGGAACAUGGGGGCUAGAAAGAAAUGGAAGAAAUGGAGAUUCUGGAGAUGAGGAUGUGCCAUGAGUGAUGAGAAGAGAGAACUUGCUAUGCUGCUACGAGACAUUUAGUAUAAAAGGUUGAGUAGAAGGCCACGGUGGAGAGUGGUGGCUUCAGGAUAGUAAUACGGUUGUUGAUUAAUAGUUGUUGGUAAAGACAUUAAACUUUUAAUUGUAGCUCACGAAAGUAGGGAAGUACUUAAAGGAUGAUUGUAUAAUCUCAAGAUCCUAAUGAGUCUUUAUUAGGUUCAAAUCACGAAAUAAGACUAAUUUUUGUUUUUGAUAUAGAUAAUACAUUGAUUAAAGCGGGUACAUGACUUUAAGAGGUUAUGGUUUUGCACAGGAGUAAAUUGAUUAACCAAAAUAAAUUUUAGACUAGGAUAAUUAAGAACAUCUAAACCCUAAUAAUAAUUUCUUUUGACAAUUUUUGCAUUAUUUGAUUUUAAUCAUUAUUGCUAGUAUUAUUUUUUUCAUAAAUUUUGUGAUAAUUUGUAAUUUGAUUAAUAAAGAAGUUUGAUAAAUAUUGAUACUUGAUUAAUCUUCACUGUAAGAUUUGACACCUGAAUACUCCUUGUAUUAGCAUAUAGCCUGUGCACUUACAGGCUAUAGCAAGGAGAAGAAAGAUUAAUGAAUUUUACAUCACCCUUCAAGUAUUUACAAAAAUGUAAAAGUACCCCCUUAUGUAUGCAUCUUCACUAGUCUUGCCCCACUCUCUCCAAAAUCCCAACCCGUGGUUCCACCAGUGUAUUUCUCUAUUGUCCCAAAUAGAUUUUAAGAGCUAAUUGAAAUCUAUUUUAGGUUUUAAUACCAACCCCCCCACCCCCCUCGGGCCUCACUCCAAAAAAAAAAAAAAGGAAAAGAAAGAAAAGAAAUGGCCCAAGAAAGGAAAAGGAAAAAAAUUGAUGGCCGUGGGCUCAUUAAUGCUUGAUUAUAAGGGGUAUAAAAUUGUAGUUUCGAGACCUUCCAUACAAUUGAAACAUGUCACUUGUCGAUGGUCCUUCUAUGUAGUUUCUUCUAAUGUACUAAUGAUGCUUAUUGCCAAGGAUCUUUCCUCAUUCUAAAGUACAAAGUACAAGAUGAUUUUCUUCUGAUACUGAAAGUAACAUUUUAACAGAUCAUGAAUGGAGGAUCUAAAUCAAAUAUCACGACACAUGUAUAAACACAAACAUAUACACAAGUAAAUAAAUAAAUAAUAUACAUGUAUAUAUACAUAUUUUGUGUUUGUAUGUGUGUAUGUAUGUAUGUAUAUGUAUGUAUAUAUUUAUGUAUAUAUAUACACAUAUUUUGUGUGUUUGUAUUGUGUGUGCGAUCUAUCUUGACAUAUAUGAUUUAUCUCGAUUUAUUGGUGAAUCUAAUGUGUGCUAUUUUAUGUCUUUGCUUUCAUCUUUACAAUUAAAAGGGUCCUUAGUGGUAAAGCAUUUAAGGUGUUAAUUGAUAGACAAUUGUUAUUGACUAAUAGUUGUUGGUAGAGACAUAAACUUUUAAUUGUAUCUCAUGAGGGAAGUACUUAAUGGAUGAUUUGUAUAAUUUCAAGAUCCUAGUGAGUCUUUAAUUAGGUUCAAAUCACGAAAGUAGACUAAUUUUUGUUUUCGAUAUAGAUAAUACAUUGGCUAAAGAGGGUAUAUGACAUUAAGAGGUUCAUCAUGGUUUUGCAAAAGAGUAAAUUGAUUAACCAAAAUAAGUUUUUGACUAGGAUAAUUACGAAUAUCUAAAACCUAAUAAUAGUUUCUUUUGACAAUUUUUUGCAUUAUUUGAUUUUAAUCGUUAUUGCUAGUAUUAUUUGUUUUCUUAAAUUUUGUGACAGUUCGUAAUUUGAUUAAUAAAGGAGUUCGAUAAAUAUUGGUACUUGAUUAAUCUUCUCUGUAAGAUUUGACACCUGGUACACCUUGUAUUAGCAUACAGCCUGUGCACUUACAGGCUACAGCACGGAAAAGCAAGAUUAAUGAAUUUUACAUCACCCUUCAAGUAUUUUUACAAAAAUAUAAAUGUACCCCCUCAUGUAUGCAUCUUCACUAGUCUUGCCCCACUUUCUCCCAAAUCCCAACCUGUGGUUCCACCAAUAUAUUUCUCUAACGUCCCAAAUAGAUUUUAAGAGCUAAUUGUAAUCUAUUUUAGGAUUUAAUUUUCUUUUUUCGGAAGAAGAUUGCCACAGAACUCCCCCCCCCCCCCCCCCAAAAAACCCAAAAAAAAAAAAGAAAGAAAAGAAAGAAAAGGAAUGGCCCAAGAAAGGAAAAGGAAAAAAAAUUGAUGGCCAUGCGCUCAUUAAUGCUUGAUUAUAAGGGGUAUAAAAUUGAAGUUUCGUGACCUUCCAUACAAUUGAAAAAUGUCACUCGUCGAUGGUCCUUCUAUGUAGUUUUCUUCUAAAGUACUAAUGAUGCAUAUUGCCCAGGAUCUUUCCUCAUUAUUAUUGGUACAAGAUGAUUUUCUUCUGAUACUGAAAGUAACAUUUUAACAGAUCAUGAAUGGAGAAUCUAAAUCAAAUAUCACGACACAUGUAUAAACACAAACAUAUACAUAAGUAAAUGAAUAAAUAAUUAUAUUUAUGUAUAUGUAUACAUACAUAUUUUGUGUUUGUAUGUAUAUAUGUAUGUAUGUAUAUGUAUGUAUAUAUAAUGUGUGUGUGUGUGUGAGUGUAUAUAUAUAUAUUGUGUGUGUGAUCUAUCUUGACAUAUAUGAUUUAUCUCGAUUGAUUGGUGAAUCUAAUGUGGGCUAUUUUAUGUCUUUGUUUUUAUCUUUACAAUUAAAAGGGUCCUUAAUGGUAAAGCAUUUAAGUUGUUAAUUGAUAGACAAUUGUUAUUGAUUAAUAGUUGUUGUUAGAGACACAAACUUUUAAUUGUAUCUCGCGAAAGUAGGGAAGUACUUAAAGGAUGAUUUGUAUAAUCUCAAGAUCCUAAUGAGUCUUUAAUUAGCUUCAAAUCACGAAAGUAGACUAAAUUUUGUUUUUGAUAUAGAUAAUACAUUGGCUAAAGAGGGUAUAUGACAUUAAGAGGUUCGUCUUGGUUUGCACAAGAGUUAAUUGAUUAACCAAAAUAAGUUUUUGACCAGGAUAAUUACAAAAAUCUAAACCCUAAUAAUAGUUUCUUUUGACAAUUUUUGCAUUAUUUGAUUCUAUUGCUAGUAUCAUUUGUUUUAUUAAAUUUUGUGAUAGUUCGUAAUUUGAUUAAUAAAGGAGUUCGAUAAACAUUGGUGCAUAAUUAAUCUUCUCUGUAAUACAGCCUGGGCACUCACAGGCUACAACACGGAAAAGCAAGAUUAAUGAAUUUUAUAUCACCCUUCAAGUGUUUUUUUCAAAAAUAUAAAAGUCCUUAAGUAUGCAUCUUCACUAGUCUCGCCCCACUCUCUCCCAAAUCGCAACCUAUGGUUCCACCAAUGUAUUUCUCCAUUGCCCCAAAUAGAUUUUAAGAGCUAAUUGAAAUCGAUUUUAGGUUUUAAUUUUCCUUUUUGGAAGCCAUAGACACCCCUCCCCCCCAAAAAACACCAAAAAAAAAAAACGAAAAGGCAGAAAAGAAAUGGCCCAAGAAAAGAAAAGGAGAAAAAUUGAUGGCCGUGGGCUCAUUAAUACUUGAUCAUAAGGGGGUAUAAACGAAACCUUCCACACAAUUGAAAAAUGUCACAUGUAGAUGGUCCUUCUCUGUAUUUUUCUUAUAGAUUACUAAUGAUACAUUGGAUGCUGCACCAUGACUAAGGAUCUUUCUUUAUUAUUAUUGGUUGGAGUUGGUUUUCUUCUGACGCUGAAAGUAACAUUUUAUCAGAUCAUGAAUGGAGAUCUGCCAACAGCCAUUUGGGAUUGGUAGGAAUUGAAGGUUAAUGGUUGAAAUCUUACUUCUUAUUGAAAAAAAUUUAUCACUAUAUGUGACUUAUCACUUUUAGUAGUUUCCUCUGAUGUUAUUUUUCAUCGAUUAGGCUCUCCCUUCCCUUAUAAUAGGAUAGCGUAGAUUAUAAAAAUAUUAUCGUUAUCAUAAAAAUAAAAUGAAAGAUCUGAAUCAAAUGUCAUGACAGCUUCAAUUACUGCAUCCAGCUACUCAUUGCACUAAUUGGUACUUUCCAUUUAACACGUCUUGAAUGGUGGAAAUGAAGUGACAUCAUAACUAAUUCGUUAGGCUAUUGAUGUUAAUGUUAUGGGAUUUUGUCUUGCUCAAUAAUGGUCCAAAAUGGUGUCCGUGGUCCAAAAUUUAAAAAAUGAUAUAGAAUUCAAAAGUACGAUUCAUCAAUUUGUCAAAUAUUAAUUAGCUAACUAUGAUAAUGGAAUAUAAAAUCUUUUUUUUUUUUGUAAACUAUACUAGUAGUUUGCAAUAAAUCAUAAAAUUAUUCAAUAUAUGUUACGCUGUUUAGUGCAACCGUUCUUGUCAACUGUAAUUUCUUAACACUUCCACAAUGAAUAAAAGAAGCCUCCUAAUAUGAUGGCUGAAUUAAUUUUUCAACUAGGGGGUUUGUUUUGCUAUUAAAUACAGACGUACCGAAUGCUCAUAACUAUCAUGGACAAGGGUUCUCCGCAAUUGCCAGUGCUAUUGCAGAGAAUUGUUCACGGUUCAAAUCAAGUCGAGCUAAUGUGGUCCAGAUCUAAGCUUUCAAUUUUGAAAAUAAAGAAAAUUAAUUUGUGUUUGGAUUGCAUUUUCCGUCAUUUUUCAUGGAAAAAUUACUGUAGCGAUUUGAUAUAUGUAAGGGAAAAAAGUGAUAGAGAAAUGUGAUCACGGAAAAUGACAAUAUUUUCCGACGGAAACAAGCAAUCCAAGCAAGGCCAGGAUUGGAAAUGAGGGCCAGAUCAAGUUGAACUAGUGUGGCUAGAUCUGCACUACGAAUUGCGCUGUGCAACGAGCAAGUAAUUUUACACUUAGUAAUUGCUAUGAAUUUGAUACAUAGUUGCAUAUAAGUAACUUGAUAACAAUUAUUUGUAAAGAAUACAAGCUAUAGAAAUAGAUAUCACUUUAAUGAUGAGUACAAGUAAAAAAAACUCAAUGCUUGAAGGAGUUUUAUCCAUUGAUGCAUCAGUUCAUAAAAAAGUUCAUAUUUUGAUCAAUUUCCGGGCAUCUGUGCAUUUCUUGCAGUCUCUCAUCUUCGUAUUUAUUUGCCGACGAAGCCUUUUGUUUUGGCCUAGCACUCAGGGUUAAGACACCAAGAAUUAGAGAUUCUAGUUUCAAAUCUGAUAAUAAGUGAGUUUCUUCUCCCACUAUAUGUGGAUUAGUUUUACAAAAUAGAUUUUAGAACUAUAGCAAUUAUUGGUAUGUAAAUAUAGUUAUUUAACUAUUUAAUUCCUUUUUUUUUUAUUUAAUCUUUGUUUAACUGGAAAUUCUUAAGUGUUGAAAGGGGUUUUUUUUGGGCACUGCAGAGUAGUAUUGAUUGUACCGAAAAUUAAAAAGAUUGGUAUCGAAAGCCAGGGGAUGAGUACCCAAAAUGUAAAAUUAGUCUUUCAUAAGGGCAUAAUUGAUAUCUCAUAAUAGUGGGUGCUCAUGUGGCAAAUGGUGAGAAAAUUUCUGUAUUUUCAAAAUCGGCACUGUUGUAGAGCCCUUGUUUAACCCCAAAAAAAAAAAUUCUGUUAGUGCCCCAUUUGAAAAUUCUCCCUGCUCCGGUACUGAAAUGAGCUAAAUAGUGCUUUAUAUGUGAUAUUGGACAAAAAAAAAAAAAAAAAAAACCAUGGUGUCUAAAUCUCAUUUUUGUUGGCUUAUAUUUCACUCAAGAUUCUUUGAAGCUAGCAUGUAGAAAGUGGAAAUUAUGGAUUCAGUGUAAAAUUCUCUCAACUAAUGCUCUUUCAGUUCCAUUGUAGUUUGUUUUUGCUAACAACUAGAUUUUCCAAUACUUAAUCUUUGGCACAUACAAAAGUACUAUAGAUAGAAGUUCACUUUAGUUGUAUUCUUUCUUGAGGCUUCAUUAGGAUAGAAACAAACUUAGGGCUUGUUUGGGGUUGUGGUGUUUUUAGUAAAUAUGCAAUUUUAAGUGUUAAAAGUACUUGUGAGGCAUUUGGUAGACAUCAUUCCAUAAAAUUAGAAAUGGAAGUUUUUGUGCUAAAAGCACUUUUAACAAAAACUAAAAUUUGAUACUUUUAAAAUAGCUUUUAUGUUUUAAAAAAUAACACAUUAAAUUUAAUUAUUUUAUCCUUUAUUACGAACUAAAUAAAGAGAUAAAUACAUUUAAGAAUAUUCAAAUUACACAUUAUUCAAUAUAAUAAGUAUUUAUUGAACUAUAUAACUAAAUGCUAUAUUUAAAAGCAAUUAAGUACUUAAUAAGUGUUUUUAUUAAAAACUGCAUUAGGUCAAAUAGUUUUGAAUAAGUUACCACAACCUCAAUUGAGCCUUAGAUUGUACCACCCCUCAAUGUAUAACGAAGACGAGGAAAGCUGGUAAGUUGUGAAUAGAGGUGUCAAAAUGGGUGACUUUGGCGGUUUUGGGUUGGGUAAAAUGGGUAAUGAGUAUAAGUGAGUCAAUUCAUUUAUACCCAUUUAAUUAGAUGGGUGUAAAUGGAUAAGUCAAAAAAUGAAUUGGGCAACCCAAUUACCCAUUUAUAACCCAUUUAUUUUAAAUUUUUGUAAACUCAAUUAAAUUCAUUUUUUCAAACUAAGUUAUCAAUUUAUAUUGCUUUUUGCACUCAUCAUUAGUUUUAAAUAUUUACUUAUAAUGUUCAAUAAGCCUAAUUACCAAUUUUUCCCCAUCUAUACUCUAUGUCGCAAAAUUACAUAUUAUUUAAUAAUUGAAUAAUAAGAAUAUAAAAAUUUGAACUAAGUACUAUAAAAGUUAAUAUAAAAAUUUAAUCCAAAAAUUUUGAACCCCUAACAUUUUUUUCAUAUAUAAAUUUAAAAUUUCAUUUUAGAAAGAUAAGAAAAGAGGAUAAACCUUAUCAUAAAUUGGUAAUGCUGAAAAAUGAGCAAGUUAACAAACUAAGAGAAAAUAAAAUGAUAAGAUAAAACCAACAAAUAAUAAUAAUAAUAAAACAAAAGUAGUUAACAUCAUGACAUUGAAAAUUUUUUUUUAAAAAAUAGGUGGGGGAAGAGAGGAGACUUGGGGAAAGAAAAUUCUAAAUGAGUUAAUUGGGUUUGAUGGGUUACCCAAUAAUACUCAUUUAAUGGGUUACUCAUUUAUACCCAUAUACAAAAUUUAAGAUACCCAUACCCAUCUAUUCAUGGACGGGUAUGGGUAAAUUUAGUUAAAUGAGUUGGUUUACCGCAUAUAGUUGUGAAAGUAUUCUUUUUGACAACCAAAAAAAGAAAAAAAAGAAGAAGUGAACUUACUAUUCCUGGAUAGUUCUUUCUUGGGCCCCAUUGCAAUAAGGAAUUAAACUCACAUUAAAAAAAUGGGGAAAACAUAAGAUCGUGCUUAUAAAAUGCACUGUCUUAUUGUUGCCAAGCUAAAGGAUAAUUGAUAUACUUUUGUGUAUUAAAACUUAUUUAAUUUACUUAUAGCCCUAGUGCUCUACCAUGUUUUUCCAUAAAAUAAGUAUAGAUAGUUCGAAGUCCAAUUUUGGAUACGAUCUAACAUGCAGAGAAUUUUUGCAUUUGCAGAGUUCAGAUACAUUGAAUAUGCCAACCAAAUCAUAAAAACUACAAAAAUGAAGAUGUUGUGAGAAAAUAAAAACAAAGACUUUUGGAUAUAUAAGAAUGUAAAAGGGAGAAGAGAUGGAUUGGGUGGUACAAGAAGAAGGAGUGUGAGCGAGCAGUUUCAUAUUUGAAACCUUCCACUAAAAAAGAAAGGAACGUAGAAGAAAAUUGAAAAGAAAUCGUAUAUUAUAUACACUUUCUUUACUUCAAAUUAUAUUUGUCUAUUGCUUAGUGUAAUAGAAGGAGUAAUACCCUUGAGGUUAAAACGUAGCAACAAUAUUUAAGAGAACUUGUACUUGUUUCUUAAGGUUUAGAACAAAAACUAAGUUCACUUUCUACAAAAUAAACUAAAUAUGAGAUAAUAGUUUUCUGCAACAGAACAAGACCCAUUUGGUCUUUAUAUAGAGUUUAGGAACUUGUUAUUGAAGAGUUGCAACAUAUCUUGGUGGUUGCAACUUGAAUUCUUGAGUCUCUUCAUUAAAAUCCAUUGGUUUUCUCGUUUUUAGUGAUAUUUCAUAUUGUUCAAACUCUAGAAUUCUGCAAAAAUCGCAACUUUUCAAUGAUGCAGACGUUCACUACCUCAUUCCCAUGAACAAAACAUUGGCCAUGUGGACUCGCCAAGCAGAGGUCUUCAUGAAGCUUGCAUGCAUCCGAUUAAAAAAUCAUUGAAAAUACUAAAGGCCCGUAAUUUUCAAUAAUUUUGAAAAUUUUAAGCUCAUAGCUUAUUUCAAAAAUUAUAUACAUAAAUAAUGAUGUCUUUCGAUUAUAUUAACUUUGCUAAAGCUCUUUGUGAUAAGUCCAUAAGCAAUGGUAGACAAACUUCGACCUACUCAAAUAUAUGACAGGCUACAUGAAUACAUCACAUACAGAUUUUAUGCACCAUUGCAUGUUUCAUAAACGAUACAUUUUAACGCCUUGUAUCGUUAUCCUCUUCAUGAAUGUCUCUCAAAGGUAAACGCUUAAGUUUGUGAAUUGCCUAAGUUCUACAUUCGUAUAGGUGAAUUCUUUAUUGCUCCGGCCAUUUCAUGCAUUUAAUAAAAUACUCAAGAGUUCUAAAUGACAAGGGUUUAUUUUACGUAUUUUUAAGUGCAUUUUAUUAGUCAAUUUUGGCUAGAUUAUUUAGUUUUAUAACUAAAAUAACUAAGGUUUUGGUAGAAAACUACAUUUUAUGUUAAAAUGGCUAAACAUUGCAUUUUAUGGAUUUUUAUGGUAAAAACUUCAUAUUUUGUAGGUUUAAUGAUUCAAUCAUCAAAUGAAAUGCAUUGGGAAGAUAUUUGGAUGAUUGAAGAUGAAUUUAAGUGGUGAAAAUAAAAUAUGAAGUGUAAAAGGAAAAAUGCAAGAAAAGUCAGGUUUGACAACUCUGACACGUUUUGGUAUUUUGACUAUAUCUGGAGCUACACAGAUCGGAUCAAGGUGAUCUUGGUACCAUUUUGAAGCUAAGAGAUAGAUCUAAAUUCGGUAUAAAGACAUCAAAGUCCAAUUCAGCCGUUUUCAUAGUGCAAAAGUUGAAAUACCGAAAUUCAACUCAGCUGUCCAAAGUGGAAAACAGAGCUCCGAACAGUCUAUAGUAUUUCGGUCAUAUCUCAAGGUAAAAAGCUCCAAUUUGGAUGAUUCUUGAAGCAUUGGAACGCUAACUCAAAGGGCUACAACUUUGGUGUUUUGCACAAAAUCCAGUUCGGCCUGCAUCAUGGAGAAAAUUGCAGUUGAAGUAAGGACAAAGUGAAAACGCGAGUGCACAAAACGCGAGUUGUAGCCGCGUUUUGUAUAGGCGCGUUUUCUGGCCGAAAUUCUACAAUUUGUUCAGUCAAUUCUCUUGUGCUCAGACUACUUUCCAGCUAUAAGUUGGAAAGUGAAUUCGGUGCACAUGCUUCAGAAGACAAAAGGGCAAUAAAGGUGGCUUAUUUUCAAGUCAAAAACAAUGGUUUUUGACUAUCUUAACAAAAAGGAGAUUUGAAGAAUCAUAGCAGCAAAAUUUGACUGGAGAAGAGCUCUUCAUCAGUUUAUAUGCAGAGACAUUUGGGUGGUUUGACAUUCAUUCAUUCAGGAACAUACGGGAGAGAACUUGAAGUGCAGAAAUGUAGUUCUUUCAUUUCCUUAGUGUAGGAUAGUGUAGUAAGUGUAGUUAAUCCAUCUUGUAUAAUAGCUAGAUUAGGAUGAAGAUGGAAAUGAAGAUGGAGGAGUUGAAGCUCAAGUGACAUGGGUUAUCUCUACUCCAAUUCUUUAUCUUUUGUAUUGGAUUCUUAAAUAUGGUUAUUAUGCAAGUUCUGGAAUUUAUAUUUAAUAUGUGUCUUUAAAGUUUAUACCUUGGGUUUGGUUGAACUUCCUAUGAUUGUGAGUGUUUAUUAUUUGGCUAUUUGAUUGCUAGUAUUUGAGCAAGUUAUUUAGCACUUUGGCUCUUGAAAUCAUGAUUAAUCUGGUACCAUUAAUUAUGAUUAUUUAAGGUGUUAUUUCUGCAAUGAAAAUUGAGAUUUAACACUAGUUCAAGAAGUGCUAAACAUAGGGAGUACACUCACGAAAGUAGAGGUGCACUUAUGUGGUUUUUAGUGAUUCAUUUCAUGUAAUUUCAUUGAAGAAAUGAACUUGUAGCUAAUUUCAUAACCAUGAAAAUAGGUAUGGAUUAGUUAUGAGUAUAGUUGAUUCACUACGAAAGUAGGUUUCACAUGUUUAAGGAAAUUACACUAUAACUAGCCUAGAUGUAGUACUAAAUGAUCCAAAAAUAGCACUUGCAUGAGUAGUUAGGGAUACCACAACCUAAGGAGCUUUUAUUUGUUAAAUUUCAGUAGGGUAAAUUUCUUAUAAUUCAUUGAUAGUCUAAAUAAUAGAGAAGCUUUAGUAAUACCGGUAAUUGUUCACUCUUCCUUGUGGGAUCGACCCGAUAUAUACCCUAAACUACUAGUUGACCUGUAUACUUGCAGUGAACGGGUGUAAUUCGGUAUUUUUUAGUUUGCACGUAUGUAAAAUACCCGUCAAGUUUUUGGCGCCGUUGCCGGGGAAGAUUUGGCAAUAUCGGUGUGAAAAGCAACUUUAUUAAUUUAGACAAUUUCACUUGUUUUUGUUGGUUAAGUGUCUUGUUUGUUUUGAGUCUUGUUGAGUCUUUUAUGUUUAAUGUCUUGUUUUUGUAUGUUUAAAGUCAUCUAUUCUUCUUGACUAAACUUGUUUUUGAGCUACUUUGAGAGCAUGUUUAGGGGAUCAAGGAGAGUAGAAACCAGGGGAGGACAAUGCUUGAGAAAUGGAGGUUUGACAAUGGAUGGUUACCAAGUGCAAAGCUCCUUCAAUAGAGGUAACCAAGAAUUUACUGAAUGUAUGUCUUUUGAAAAUGGUUUAAGGUGCUUAAAGGCUAAAUUUGAUGUUAUGAUGUUACAAGUUCAAAUGGACACAAUUAUGCAUGAAAUUGAACAAAGGAGGAAUGCUAAUGUUUUUAAUUCUUAUCAUGUGAUUUGUGACUUGUGUGGAAGUUAUCAUGCUACUAAUACAUGUAUGCAAGCACAAAAUGUGGAUUAUUAUGAUGAAUUAGAGCAUUACAAUCCUUGUUUUGAUCAAUAUAGUGCUAAUUGGAGCAAUUCUCCUGCUUAUGGUUGGGAUGAUCAAUGUACUUAUAGUGAUUAUUCAUGUUUUUAUGAUUACCAACCUGAAAGUGUCCAAUAUGAAUCAAAACCAUCUUGGGAGUUGGCAAUAGAGAAGUUAGCUAAUGCACCUCUGCCUUGGGAGUUAGAAAGUGAACCAUUAGCUAAUGAUUCUAAUGCAUCUUGGGAGCUAGCUGUAGAAAAUUUUUCUAAUCAAUUUGAUUUAGCAUUAGAAAAGCUAGCAAAUGUAACUUCCGACCGUUUUGAUAGGAUUGAGGAAAGAAUAGAUGAAUUAGCUUCUCACUUUGGUCGAAUACAUGAGCAAUUGAGUGCAUUGUGUGAAGUUAUUUCCUCUAAUAAUGUGCAAAAUGAUCCUAGCAUGAAUGGUGGGAAUGUUGUAUGUGAAAAUGGGUUGCAUUUUGAUGAAAAUGAUGAAUCUCAAGAGUGUUUUAAUGAGCAAAUAUCCAUUUCACAUGAUAAUAUCUUUGGAACUACCUUUGAACCUCAAGAGGUGAGUUUUAAUGGCUCAAUUUUCACCCCUCUUGAGGAGUGUAUAAAAAGUACAGGUUUUAAAGAUAUUCCUGCCCAAGAUACUCUAAUGGCAUUCCCUUUGGUAAGUUCUCAAGUGGUGCAUAUUCAAGGUAAUAUCUAUGAACCACUUGGGAUAGGUAAGUCACUUCCAUUUCUCACAUCAUUAGAUCAUGUGGCUUUUGCUAUAAAGUCACCAUUUAAUGAUCCACCACGACCUAAAAUGGUGGAUUACUCUUUAACCAAACCUCCUUGAAAAAUGAGGUUCAAUAGUCGAGCCAACGACUAUAAAUAAAAGCGCUUAUUGGGAGGCAACCCAAUGUUUUGGCUAUUUAUGUUAUUUUUGUGUGAUUUUAUGUUUACAGUAUGAGUUUGAGUUUUUUUUAUGUUUUUCAUUUGUAGGUAUUGGAAAUGAAAGCAAAAGUGACCAAAUGAGGUGAAAAAGGCGAAAUUUGAUCAAGGAACUCAACCCCUCAAUUUGGAUAAUUGUUGUUUUUGAUUUGUUAGAAGGGGUUAAAAUGCAUAUUUUGAUCAUUUUACAUGUGCAUGCAUUGAGUAUUUUAGCAAACAAAUAAUUUAUGAUGCAUUUUGAGUGAUUGGGGUAUUAGUUGUAAAUUUUUAAAAAUUGAAUUUCUGCUAAAAAUCGCAGCAGAAAAACGCGUUUCUCAAGAAAACGCGCCUCUGAGUCGCGUGUUCACAGAAUCGCGUUUUCAAUUCUGCACCUGCAGAACAGAAAACACGCCAUUAAAACGCGACUUAAAGUCGCGUUUUGAUGGCAGUCGCGUUUUCAAGCCUGGAUCAAACUAAAAAACGCGACUUAGAAAACGCGCAUCCAAGUCGCGUUUUCUCAAAGAACCGCGUUUUCAAUCCUGCAAGAUUGGUGAAGGAAACGCGACUUCAAAAACGCAGCUUAGUGGCGCGUUUUUUUCAGCAACGUUUUCUGAGCAUUUUUUUUAAACAAAAAAAUGCAAUUUCCUUGAUUCUCUUUUUCUUCUUUUCCUCAUAUAUUUUCUUGUACCUUGAGUUGCUUAUUGUGUAUUUUUUUAUAGGUACAUCACCAAAACAAGGGCUUGAAGUUACGGAUCGCCGUUUUGAUGUUUUGAGCCUUUGUUAUCACUUUUGUUUCUCAUUUUCCAUUUUUAGGUUUAUAUCACUAAUGGUUACCAAAUGGAACUCAUGAAGCGAUGAAGACAGGCGAACAACGUACCUUGAAGCUUCAUAUUCAAUCGCAACAAUAGGGGAGUAUUACUUUCUUUAUCUUGAUUUUCCUUUUUACACAUUGAGGACAAUGUGUAUGUUAAGUGUGGGGGGAGAAUUGAGAUUAUAUACAUUGUAUGUGAUUGACUUAUUAGUUGCAAAUAUUGGACUUGUGUUAAAAUUCAAAUUUUUCUACAAUCUUGUCCAAAAUUGCAAACUUGCCCAAAAAAGUUUCAAUUUUUUCGAUUUUAUCCAAAGGGGUAACAAGUUUCAUACCAUUAGUAGUUCAAAUUUCUUCUAUAUUUGAGAUAAAUAUAUGUGAUUUGGAAACUUCUUUUCUCAUUUAACUUGGAAAUGACUAUUAUGUGAUUAUAAUUUUUGCAUUUGUAGGAAAGUAUAUCUUUUAAAGUGGAGAAAAUUAUGCCUAUAUUUUUUUUGCAUAUUUGAUGAAAUUUUUUCGCUUUAUUUGAUUUUAUAAGUUAAGGAUAAAUAUGGUCAAUAAUUUCAAUACUCUUCUCAUGAUUAUGCUUUCAAGGGAAUGUUAUUAUCUUUACUAAAAAAAUAUAAUAAAAUAAAAAAAUGAUGAAAAAUGAAAAAAUGAAGAAAAAGAGAAAAAAAAAACAAAAGAGAAAAGAAAAUAAAUAAAAAAUUGUUCUACUCCAAUGAUUCUCGUACCGAGUAACCGGGGGUUGGCAUCUACAAAUGUCGACAUUCGCGUAAAAAGGUACUUGAAUUAAGAGUAUGCAAAGCAAUUUGAGUAUGUGAAGUGUUGAGUAACCGGUGAUCUUCAUCUAAAAAUGUCGAUCCUCGCGUAAAAAGAUACUUUCACAACUUAAGUAAUAUUUAGCUAUAUUAUAUAAAUAAAUCCCUCUUUAAGUUAAAUAAGAAGAUGAUCAUGGGUUUAGGAAGCAUAUUAUUGACCAUAUGAGUUACUUACUUGUAAGAUUGGGUAAAGAUGAAAAAUUGAUUUGAAUUUGUUAUAAUGACGGUUUAAUUGGCUCUCCUUUACUUGAUAUUAUGAGUACUUGAGGUUAUUGAAUAAUUGCAUAAUAGUUAUUUACUUUGUUUUAAGGAAAUGAAGUUGAAAUGCUACAUAUGUUUAUUUUCAAAUUUUGAAUCAUUGUUGGUUUUGUAUUUCUUAUUGCUUGAGGACAAGCAAUGAUUCAAGUGUGGGGGUAUUUGACAAGGGUUUAUUUUACGUAUUUUUAAGUGCAUUUUAUUAGUCAAUUUUGGCUAGAUUAUUUAGUUUUAUAACUAAAAUAACUAAGGUUUUGGUAGAAAACUACAUUUUAUGUUAAAAUGGCUAAACAUUGCAUUUUAUGGAUUUUUAUGGUAAAAACUUCAUAUUUUGUAGGUUUAAUGAUUCAAUCAUCAAAUGAAAUGCAUUGGGAAGAUAUUUGGAUGAUUGAAGAUGAAUUUAAGUGGUGAAAAUAAAAUAUGAAGUGUAAAAGGAAAAAUGCAAGAAAAGUCAGGUUUGACAACUCUGACACGUUUUGGUAUUUUGACUAUAUCUGGAGCUACACAGAUCGGAUCAAGGUGAUCUUGGUACCAUUUUGAAGCUAAGAGAUAGAUCUAAAUUCGGUAUAAAGACAUCAAAGUCCAAUUCAGCCGUUUUCAUAGUGCAAAAGUUGAAAUACCGAAAUUCAACUCAGCUGUCCAAAGUGGAAAACAGAGCUCCGAACAGUCUAUAGUAUUUCGGUCAUAUCUCAAGGUAAAAAGCUCCAAUUUGGAUGAUUCUUGAAGCAUUGGAACGCUAACUCAAAGGGCUACAACUUUGGUGUUUUGCACAAAAUCCAGUUCGGCCUGCAUCAUGGAGAAAAUUGCAGUUGAAGUAAGGACAAAGUGAAAACGCGAGUGCACAAAACGCGAGUUGUAGCCGCGUUUUGUAUAGGCGCGUUUUCUGGCCGAAAUUCUACAAUUUGUUCAGUCAAUUCUCUUGUGCUCAGACUACUUUCCAGCUAUAAGUUGGAAAGUGAAUUCGGUGCACAUGCUUCAGAAGACAAAAGGGCAAUAAAGGUGGCUUAUUUUCAAGUCAAAAACAAUGGUUUUUGACUAUCUUAACAAAAAGGAGAUUUGAAGAAUCAUAGCAGCAAAAUUUGACUGGAGAAGAGCUCUUCAUCAGUUUAUAUGCAGAGACAUUUGGGUGGUUUGACAUUCAUUCAUUCAGGAACAUACGGGAGAGAACUUGAAGUGCAGAAAUGUAGUUCUUUCAUUUCCUUAGUGUAGGAUAGUGUAGUAAGUGUAGUUAAUCCAUCUUGUAUAAUAGCUAGAUUAGGAUGAAGAUGGAAAUGAAGAUGGAGGAGUUGAAGCUCAAGUGACAUGGGUUAUCUCUACUCCAAUUCUUUAUCUUUUGUAUUGGAUUCUUAAAUAUGGUUAUUAUGCAAGUUCUGGAAUAUAUAUUUAAUAUGUGUCUUUAAAGUUUAUACCUUGGGUUUGGUUGAACUUCCUAUGAUUGUGAGUGUUUAUUAUUUGGCUAUUUGAUUGCUAGUAUUUGAGCAAGUUAUUUAGCACUUUGGCACUUAAAAUCAUGAUUAAUCUGGUACCAUUAAUUAUGAUUAUUUAAGGUGUUAUUUCUGCAAUGAAAAUUGAGAUUUAACACUAGUUCAAGAAGUGCUAAACAUAGGGAGUACACUCACGAAAGUAUAGGUGCACUUAUGUGGUUUUUAGUGAUUCAUUUCAUGUAAUUUCAUUGAAGAAAUGAACUUGUAGCUAAUUUCAUAACCAUGAAAAUAGGUAUGGAUUAGUUAUGAGUAUAGUUGAUUCACUACGAAAGUAGGUUUCACAUGUUUAAGGAAAUUACACUAUAACUAGCCUAGAUGUAGUAUUCAAUGAUCCAAAUAUAGCACUUGCAUGAGUAGUUAGGAAUACCACAACUUAAGGAGCUUUCAUUUGCUAUUUUCUUGUAUAAUUUCAAUAGGUUUUAAUUUGUAUAAUUCAUUGAUAGUCUAAAUAAUAGAGAAGCUUUAGUAAUACCGGUAAUUGUUCACUCUUCCCUGUGGGAUCGACCCGAUAUAUACCCUAAACUACUAGUUGACCUGUAUACUUGCAGUGAACGGGUGUAAUUCGAUUUUUUAACUUGUACGUAUGUAAAAUACCCGUCACUAAACUCAGCUAUCCCUUAUUCUAGUGGAUCAACCUUGCACUAUCUUUCCAAGGGAUGAUCUUUGACAUAGUGUUACAAUCACUAGAAUGUAUUUUGACCAAUUGAAUUCAGGAUUACAUGUUGUACCUAGUAUUGAAUUGACGUUCCAUUAUGAGUGAUUAAUAUUUUUGGACUUUAAUCAUACUCCUCUUAAUGCCUUAUACACCAAGGUUUUUGAUUAUCUUUUUGUCAAAGGAGCACUGAAAAUUUGACUAGAUUUUAUGAAGAUUACAAUGAUGACUCCAAUUGUAAUUAAGUCCACUGAUGUAAAAUUUUAUUCAAACUCAAACUUCUCUUUCUAUAAGUGUAUAGUCAUAGAUAAGUACAAGGAGAAAUUAAGUGUUAAUCUCACAAGAAAAAUUAAUCAACUUAUCAACAUUUAAAGUGUGAGUAAAUACAACUACACUACAAAAGACAAAGAAAAUGACAAACUAAAGUUCCUAGGGUUUUGGUUAUCGUCCUUACCUCUGCUAGUGAAAUGACCCAACUGAUUGAGUUUUAUCUCUUAGGUUAAGCAAUGAUGCAAUUUUCUAAUAUAUAGGAUAUCAGCUUUCGUCAACAUAUCUGUCAUACUUAUAACUAAUUCACACCUAUUUUCAUGGUAUAAAUCCAGCUACAAGUUCAUUAGGAUUUAUGAAAUUAUUUAGUAAAAACCACAAAGGCGUAUCUCAAUUCAACUUCACCUAUUACUACAAGAGGAGCGGUGGCUGAAUGUUCCACGUGAAUUAGAGUUCCAACUUCAACUGAUUUCAUAGAUUUGAAGAAUUUCUUGUUUUUGCAUACAUUUUUUUUUUGUAACCCUAGAAUCAACCCACCGAGAUCAUUGCAAUUUUUUUUUUCGCUUGCACUAUUGAAAGUUUCUUGCUUGUCAUUCUUAUGAUUGUUAAGAGGUCUAAAUUCGGACUUCUAAUGUCCAAGUUUGUUUCAACAGAAGUAGAAGCACUUGCAUUUUUUCUUCCUUUUCUUGUUCUUUCGAUGAUUCUUAGACCGAUUAUCUUUUUGCUUUCUGACUUCAUUGAAUGUCCCUCUUCAAUCACGUGUACUUUGGUAGACAAAUCUUUGUUAUCUUUUUGUGUUUGAGAAUCCUUCUUCUCUUACAUGCUAAAUUCCUUCUUAACUCUAAAGGACUUGGCAAGACUUUCAAGAGAGAUUUCUUAUUUAUUAUGCUUCAAAAUUCUCUUGAAAUCUUUCCAUGUUGGACACAGUUUGUCUAUUAUGGAGCUUACAAAAAUGGUUUCAUCCAUAUCCAUAUUAUGUUGAGUGAAAUAGUUCAAAAGUUAUCUCAAAUUUUUGAAAAUUGUUUCAUAAUAGGACUUGUAUCUACUAUUUUAUAAUUAUUGAAAAAAGAAAUAAGGAACUUCUUACUUAUAGCAUCUUCUAGCAUGUAUUUCAAUUCGAAUCUCUCAUAAAGUUCCUUUGUAGUUAUUUUUUUUUGGUCAAAAAAGUUCCUUUAUAGAUGGUAUGGUGUGGUAGACAUCUAAGUCUAUCAUUUAUUGCAUUAAGGAUAUGGCUUCUAAAAAUUUCAUCAUUAUUGUCCUAUUUUUGCUUCUUUGUGAUUUCUUCAAGAGUUUUUUCAUCUCCUUGUAUGUUGGAUAUUGAUGUUUUCAAGACACAUGCAACAUUCAACGUGAUAAGGAGGAAGUGUACCCUCAUUUGCAAACAUAUGAAGUUUCCUUCAUCAAAACUUUCCCAUUUUCGCAUUGUUGGUUAUCAACUCCUUCAGAGAACUUGCCCUAUUCAAGUUCUUCAAAUAUAGCCUUAAAAUGCACAACGGAUCUUCUAUUCCACACUUUGUGCCACUCUCUGUCCCACUUUUUAUUAUAUUGUUAUUUCUCCUUCAUAAACAUCAUGUUUUAGUUCUUUUUUGUUUCCUUAAGAUUCAAUAACUAUUAAUUCAAAUACAACAGUUUCAAAAAAGUAAUAUAUAAUAGAAAAUUAAAAAAUACAGCAGAAAAAUCAUAAAAAUAUCAUUUUUUAUGCAUUUUGAUUUUUUGAAUUUGUUAAAUUUUGUGUAUUACUGAAUUAAUAGUUAUUGGAUCUUAAGGAAAGAAAAAAGAACUAAAACAUGAUGUUUAUGAAGGAAAAAUAGCUAUAUAAUAAAAAGUGGAAGAGAGAGUAGCACAGGGUAUGGGACAGAAGAUCCGUUGCGCUUAAAAUGGUAGAAAAUAGAAACAAAGGCAAACCUUUUUUUUUUCUUCCUAUCCUUCCAUCCCUCCCACCUCCAACUAUCAGGUACAUGAUAAUAAAGGAAAACUUGUCAAUAUAUAAGAAAGUAAAAGAAAAUUCCAACCAAGUCAUGUAUUAUAUAUACCUUCCUUAAGGCUAUAUUUGUCGCUUAUUUAAUGCAAUAGAGGGACAAACACUCUUGAGGAUAAAAUGGAGAAAUGUUUAAGAGAACACACACUUGUUUCUAAAGCAUUAGAACAAACAACCAAUUCACUUUUACAAAAUAAACAAACCUAAGUCUUUUGUAGCAAAUCAAUGCCCAUUUGGUCUUGACAUACAGUUUGGGAGAUUAUUGUUAUAGCGUUGCAACACAUUUAGGUAGUUAUCAACCUGAAUUCCUGAGCCUCUUCAUGAAAAUCGAUUAGUUUUGUUCCUUGUAUAGUGAUGUUCGAUUUCGUUCAAAUUCAGAAUUUGGCAAAAGUUACAACUUUUCAAUGAUGCGGAUGUGGGCUGCCUCGUCCGCAUGAACAAGAAUUACAAUAAGCAUGCGAACGUGUGUCAUAAAGGCUUCCGCGUAAAGCUUGCAUAAGUCCACAUCAAAAGUCAAUUACAAUACUAACAGAUGUCUGGAUUUUAAAUGUAUCUCUACCCUAUACUUUUUGUCUGUUACACUGAUGAGAGUUUGGAGUUCGAAGCCAAAUGCAAAUUAUCUGUUGAGAACAUAAAUACAAAUGCAAGUUGUCUAAACCUCUUCUCCAUACGAGGAUAAGUAGCAUACUUAGGCUGAAUUAAUUGAAUGUUAAUGCGAAUUGCGAAAACGGUAGUUAGAAAGAGACGCAUGCUAGCUAUGAAAGAGAAAUCCGUGAUUAGUUCCACAAUUAUCAUCCACUUCUUAUUAGUACAGGAGAACUUAUCUUGGCCGAACUUCACUGUAGAAGCCGAGAAUAUCCAACAUGUAAAGAACAAAUGAAGAACAUAGAUCUGUAAUAGAGAGUACAGAUAAUGCAUUAGUCAGUUCUGCAUGAGGGAAAUUUCUUUGCUAUCGACGUCUUUUUUUCCGGACUU
RNAcentral lists this long non-coding RNA (38630 nucleotides) under Coffea arabica (coffee). Its description in RNAcentral is "long non-coding RNA (CARA_LNC006352)". Lineage: Eukaryota; Viridiplantae; Streptophyta; Magnoliopsida; Gentianales; Rubiaceae. The record is from RNAcentral.